AUUGAACGCUGGCGGCAGGCCUAACACAUGCAAGUCGAGCGAGCGGCGGACGGGUGAGUAAUGUCUGGGAAACUGCCUGAUGGAGGGGGAUAACUACUGGAAACGGUAGCUAAUACCGCAUACCAUCAGAUGUGCCCAGAUGGGAUUAGCGAGUAGGUGGGGUAACGUCUCACCUAGGCGACGUUCCAUAGCUGGUCUGAGAGGAUGACCAGCGAACCUGGAACUGCAACACGGUCCAGGGUCCGACGGUAGGCAGCAGUGGUGAAUAUUGAACAAUGGGCGCAAGCCUGAUGCAGCCAUGCCGCUUGUGUGAAGAAGGCCUUCGGUUUGUAAAGCACUUUCAGCGGGGAGGCGUUGCCCGCAGAAGAAGCACCGGCUAACUCCGUGCCAGCAGCCGCGGUAAUUC
Molecule: ribosomal RNA, 406 nt
Filed under: uncultured bacterium
Lineage: Bacteria
Description: partial 16S ribosomal RNA
Rfam family: Bacterial small subunit ribosomal RNA
Source: RNAcentral